Molecule: ribosomal RNA, 437 nt
Filed under: uncultured bacterium
Lineage: Bacteria
Description: partial 16S ribosomal RNA
Rfam family: Bacterial small subunit ribosomal RNA
Source: RNAcentral
GAUGAACGCUGGCGGCAUGCCUAAUACAUGCAAGUCGAACGGGAAGUGGUGUUUCCAGUGGCGAACGGGUGAGUAACGCGUAAGAACCUGCCCUUUGGAGGGGCACAACAACUGGAAACGGUUGCUAAUACCCCGUAGGCCUAAUAGCAAAAGAUGUAAUCCGCCAAAUGAGGGGCUAGCGUCUGACUGGCUAGUUGGUGAUGUUAUAGCUUACCAAGGCGCAGGACCGUCUCUGGUAGGAGAGGAUGAUCAGCCACACUGGUACUGGGACAAGGCGCAGACGCCUACGGGAGGCAGCAGUAGGGAAGUUUGCGCAAUGGGCGAAAGCCUGACAGGGCAAUGGCGCGGGGAGGUGGAAGGACUAGGGGUCGUCAACUUCUUUACUAGGAGAAGAAACAAUGACGGUAUCUGAGGAAUAAGCAACGGCUAACUCUGUG